RNAcentral lists this ribosomal RNA (253 nucleotides) under uncultured bacterium. Its description in RNAcentral is "partial 16S ribosomal RNA". It matches the Rfam family "Bacterial small subunit ribosomal RNA", at positions 524 to 776 of the family's 1533-position model. The record is from RNAcentral.
UACGAAGGGGGCUAGCGUUGUUCGGAAUUACUGGGCGUAAAGCGCACGUAGGCGGGUCGUUAAGUCAGGGGUGAAAUCCCAGAGCUCAACUCUGGAACUGCCUUUGAUGCUGGCGACCUUGAGGCCGGAAGAGGUUAGUGGAAUUCCCAGUGUAGAGGUGAAAUUCGUAGAUAUUGGGAAGAACACCAGUGGCGAAGGCGGCUAACUGGUCCGGAUCUGACGCUGAGGUGCGAAAGCGUGGGGAGCAAACAGG